UCAGCAAGGUGUCAAGGGGUUGGUUCAAGAUUUGACUUGCUUUCUAAACUAACAAGACGAGAGAUAGCAGCAAAAAUUAAACCCGACCAAGAUAUCGAUAUAUACAUGAAGGCAACAGCAUCUGAAGGCCAGGAAGCAAACCAGAUGAUAACAGAAUAUAUACUAAAGCUGACAUCUUCAACUUCAAGUAGUUCUGAGUUCUGAUUUCUCACAAUAUUGCAUCAUCAC
Molecule: non-coding RNA, 228 nt
Organism: Arachis ipaensis
Lineage: Eukaryota; Viridiplantae; Streptophyta; Magnoliopsida; Fabales; Fabaceae
Source: RefSeq, a predicted model, not a curated record